Molecule: ribosomal RNA, 651 nt
Filed under: gamma proteobacterium ARP-F10
Lineage: Bacteria; Pseudomonadati; Pseudomonadota; Gammaproteobacteria
Description: partial 16S rRNA
Rfam family: Bacterial small subunit ribosomal RNA
Source: RNAcentral
UGAAAUNNGUAGAGAUCNGGAAGAACACCCGUGGCGAAGGCGGCCAUCUGGACCAGCACUGACGCUGANGCACGAAAGCGUGGGGAGCAAACANGAUUAGAUACCCUNGUAGUNCACGCCCUAAACGAUGCGAACNNGAUGUUGGGCACANUUAGGUGCUCAGUGUCGAAGCUAACGCGUUAANUUNGCCGCCUGGGGAGUACGGUCNCAAGACUGAAACUCAAAGGAAUUGACGGGGGCCCGCACAAGCGGUGGAGUAUGUGGUUUAAUUCGAUGCAACGNGAAGAACCUUACCUGNCCUUGACAUGUCCGGAAUCCUGCAGAGAUGCGGGAGUNCCUUCGGGAAUCGGAACACAGGUGCUGCAUGGCUGUUGUCAGCUCGUGUNGUGAGAUGUUGGGUUAAGUCCCGCAACGAGCGCAACCCUUGUCCUUAGUUGCCAGCACGUAAUGGUGGGAACUCUAAGGAGACUGCCGGUGACAAACCGGAGGAAGGUGGGGAUGACGUCAAGUCAUCAUGGCCCUUACGGCCAGGGCUACACACGUACUACAAUGGUCGGUACAGAGGGUUGCGAUACCGCGAGGUGGAGCCAAUCCCAGAAAGCCGAUCUCAGUCCGGAUCGGAGUNUGCAACUCGACUCCGUGAAGUCGGAA